CGCGAAUCCUGGUGCUGCGACUGCCGCGAAGACCCCUAACAGCCCGAGCUUCUGUGGGUUUCCUCAAGAGCUUUCCGCCAUUGGCCAGUCUUUGAAAGCGCUGUAGGAACGAUAAGGAACCCGAGGCUUAGAAAAAUAACCUGACAAAUAUAAGAAAUCGCUAGAUGAUAUGUUCCACCGAAUGAAGACAUAAGCCAAGAAAGAACACAGUGGAUCCAGGGAAGAGGGGAUCCAACACCAGAGUAAGGCAAAGAGCCUCUCCAGGAUGAUGGUA
Zalophus californianus (California sea lion) is the source of this 274-nucleotide long non-coding RNA. RefSeq lists it as uncharacterized. The transcript is spliced from 3 exons. Lineage: Eukaryota; Metazoa; Chordata; Mammalia; Carnivora; Otariidae. The record is from RefSeq and is a predicted model, not a curated record.